UACGGAGGGUGCAAGCGUUAUCCGGAUUCACUGGGUUUAAAGGGUGCGUAGGUGGGCAGGUAAGUCAGUGGUGAAAUCUCUAAGCUUAACUUAGAAACUGCCGUUGAUACUAUCUGUCUUGAAUAUCGUGGAGGUGAGCGGAAUAUGUCAUGUAGCGGUGAAAUGCUUAGAUAUGACAUAGAACACCAAUUGCGAAGGCAGCUCGCUACACGGUUAUUGACGCUGAGGCACGAAAGCGUGGGGAUCAAACAGG
This 253-nucleotide ribosomal RNA is filed under the name uncultured bacterium. RNAcentral describes it as "partial 16S ribosomal RNA". It matches the Rfam family "Bacterial small subunit ribosomal RNA", at positions 524 to 776 of the family's 1533-position model. The record is from RNAcentral.